GUGGGGAAUCUUGCGCAAUGGGCGAAAGCCUGACGCAGCCAUGCCGCGUGAAUGAUGAAGGUCUUAGGAUUGUAAAAUUCUUUCACAGGGGACGAUAAUGACGGUACCCGGAGAAGAAGCUCCGGCUAACUUCGUGCCAGCAGCCGCGGUAAUACGAAGGGGGCUAGCGUUGCUCGGAAUUACUGGGCGUAAAGGGCGCGUAGGCGGACAGCUCAGUCAGAGGUGAAAGCCCAGGGCUCAACCUUGGAAUUGCCUUUGAUACUGGCUGUCUGGAGUUUGGGAGAGUUGAGUGGAACUCCGAGUGUAGAGGUGAAAUUCGUAGAUAUUCGGAAGAACACCAGUGGCGAAGGCGACUCACUGGCCCAAUACUGACGCUGAGGCGCGAAAGCGUGGGGAGCAAACAGGAUUAGAAACCCUUGUAGUCC
This 425-nucleotide ribosomal RNA is filed under the name uncultured bacterium. RNAcentral describes it as "partial 16S ribosomal RNA". It matches the Rfam family "Bacterial small subunit ribosomal RNA", at positions 354 to 796 of the family's 1533-position model. The record is from RNAcentral.